ACGGGUGAGUAAUACGUAGGAAUCUACCCUCAAGCGGGGGAUAACUAGUGGAAACGCUAGCCAAUACCGCAUAAUCUCGAGAGAGCAAAGGUGCCCGAAAGGGUGACACUUGGGGAGGAGCCUACGGCUGAUUAGCUAGUUGGUGGGGUAAAGGCCUACCAAGGCGUUGAUCAGUAACUGGUCUGAGAGGACGGCCAGUCACACUGGGACUGAGACACGGCCCAGACUCCUACGGGAGGCAGCAGUGGGGAAUCUUGGACAAUGGGGGCAACCCUGAUCCAGCGAUGCCGCGUGAGUGAAGAAGGCCCUCGGGUCGUAAAGCUCUUUAGGUUGGGAAGAAGGCUCUGAGGUGAAUACCCUUGGAGAUUGACGGUACCAACAGAAUAAGCACCGGCAAAUUCUGUGCCAGCAGCCGCGGUAAUACAGAAGGUGCGAGCGUUAAUCGGAUUAACUGGGCGUAAAGGGCGCGUAGGCGGUAAGAUGUGUGUGAUGUGAAAACCCUGGGCUUAACCUAGGAAGUGCAUCGCAAACUAUCUAACUGGAGUAGAUGAGAGGGUGGCGGAAUUUCAGGUGUAGCGG
This 579-nucleotide ribosomal RNA is filed under the name uncultured bacterium. RNAcentral describes it as "bacterial SSU rRNA". It matches the Rfam family "Bacterial small subunit ribosomal RNA", at positions 102 to 681 of the family's 1533-position model. The record is from RNAcentral.